GAUGAACGCUGGCGGCGUGCCUAAUACGUGCAAGUCGAGCGAACGGACGAGAAGCCUGCUUCUCUGAUGUUAGCGGCGGACGGGUGAGUAACACGUGGAUAACCUACCUAUAAGACUGGGAUAACUUCGGGAAACCGGAGCUAAUACCGGAUAAUAUUUUGAACCGCAUGGUUCAAAAGUGAAAGACGGUCUUGCUGUCACUUAUAGAUGGAUCCGCGCUGCAUUAGCUAGUUGGUAAGGUAACGGCUUACCAAGGCAACGAUGCAUAGCCGACCUGAGAGGGUGAUCGGCCACACUGGAACUGAGACACGGUCCAGACUCCUACGGGAGGCAGCAGUAGGGAAUCUUCCGCAAUGGGCGAAAGCCUGACGGAGCAACGCCGCGUGAGUGAUGAAGGUCUUCGGAUCGUAAAACUCUGUUAUUAGGGAAGAACAUAUGUGUAAGUAACUGUGCACAUCUUGACGGUACCUAAUCAGAAAGCCACGGCUAACUACGUG
This 497-nucleotide ribosomal RNA is filed under the name uncultured bacterium. Its description in RNAcentral is "partial 16S ribosomal RNA". It matches the Rfam family "Bacterial small subunit ribosomal RNA", at positions 28 to 507 of the family's 1533-position model. The record is from RNAcentral.